GGGUUUAUUCCAAGCUGUGCCAGGAAGAGAUGUACUUGUAUGGCUGCCACCAAUUUUCUAGAUGACUCGGAUCAGGUAUGGGUUUCUGAUAGGGCAGUGCCUGGCACUCACUGAAAACAGGUCAAAAGGAAUUGCAGAUGGCUGAAGAUCUGCUGUUGACAUGAGAGGAAGAAGGAGUUCACGGCCAGAGAGUUCCUGAAAAUGAAAACGCUCUCGAGAGGAAGAGGUCACAAGAUCCAAUUUUCCCUUUAUGUAAGUCCAAAAUGUAAAACCCAACACUUCUAUAUUUUGGUUUUAGCUGUCAUUUUAAGUAUCAACUGGUGGUGCAGUCUGCAGAUUUUAUUCCCAAGAGACUCUACAUUGCUUCCCAGCUGCCUUUCUUUGGUUUCCUGUUCUGUGGGGAUACAGUCAGAGACCAGAGAAGGACAGGAGCUUAGUAUUAUGGCAGCCAUUUCCAGAAAGUUGUAGAACAACAACUUUUCCCACGAAGGGAAGAAACACAGACAAGGACUGGACUCUUAACAUACAUGCAUUUUAAAACAGAAUGUGAUAGGAGCUUUGUGGCCAUUUCUCCAGGAGAAUCUUUGUGAUAUGAAUGGCUACAAGCACCCAACUGGCACAACUGUCAGUAACGCACAGGAUGCACGGCUGCUUCACUCCAUGCUGAGUUUGAAGAAAAUAGAUGUUAAGUACCAGGCACCAGCUCUGUGAAACGAGACAGUUAAGAAACCGAAGUGCUUGUCUGAGUCUACAUUUUUAAAGACUGUAGUCUCUCAAGACAGCCUUUACCAAAUCCAUGCCGAGGAAACUUGU
Oxyura jamaicensis (ruddy duck) is the source of this 813-nucleotide long non-coding RNA. RefSeq lists it as uncharacterized. The transcript has 3 exons. NCBI's taxonomy places the organism in Eukaryota, Metazoa, Chordata, Aves, Anseriformes, Anatidae. The record is from RefSeq and is a predicted model, not a curated record.